Long non-coding RNA from Oncorhynchus keta (chum salmon), 196 nucleotides. RefSeq lists it as uncharacterized. NCBI's taxonomy places the organism in Eukaryota, Metazoa, Chordata, Actinopteri, Salmoniformes, Salmonidae. The record is from RefSeq and is a predicted model, not a curated record. The transcript has 3 exons.
UGAGGUUCACGUCAAAGGUAUCAACGUCAACGAAUCUUAAUCGAACCUAACCAACAUGGAUAAAAAUAUAAGCCAUGGAAGACUGAAGAAGAGAGAUUGAAAAAGUCGGCGAAAACUAAAUCCACUACAGGACGAUGUAGAAGACCCCCCCCCCCCAAGAAGUCACAGCAUGUCACGUCAGCAUCUAGCUCUGCAG